UACGGUAGGGUGCGAGCGUUGCCCGGAUUUAUUGGGCGUAAAGGGCGCGUAGGCGGCCUGGCGCGUCGGCUGUGAAAUCUCCCGGCUCAACUGGGAGGGACGGCCGAUACGGCUGGGCUUGAGCGAGGUAGGGGAGAGUGGAAUUCCCGGUGUAGUGGUGGAAUGCGUAGAUAUCAGGAGGAACACUGGUGGUGUAGACGGCUUACUGGACCAUAACUGACGCUGAGACACGAAAGCGUGGGUAGCAAACAGG
Molecule: ribosomal RNA, 253 nt
Filed under: uncultured bacterium
Lineage: Bacteria
Description: partial 16S ribosomal RNA
Rfam family: Bacterial small subunit ribosomal RNA
Source: RNAcentral